UAAAAAUCCCCCACAUUUCAUUUAGAUUUCCAACACUUUUCGUGAAUGAAACUUUUAAGAUCUAAAUUUCAUGCCUUAUGCACUGCUUAUUGAACCAUUACGUUUAGAGAUGCGUCUUUCGUGCCAUAUUUUCGGUCGGCUGUAACGCUUGAUACAAAUAAUAAUUUAAUUUGCUGCUGAUUUGUUAUUUAAUUUUGAUGACAGUGUUUACACAAGAAUCGCAAUCUAAGGUCUCUGUGAUUUACUAAUCAUCUUUCGACUUAGUUCUUGAAAGAAGGUUGAGGGAAGUUGUUCGGAUGGGGGAAGAGCAGUAUGGAUUCAUACCGGGGAGAGGAACGACGGAUGCAGAAAGACAGAGAAUUGUAUAUGGUGUUUGUAGAUUUGGAGAAGGCGUUUGAUAGAGUUCCGAGAAAGGUGAUCGAGUACGCGCUGCGUAAGAAAGGUGUGACAGAGAAUAUAGUUCGGGCAGUUAUGGAGACUUAUGAAGGUGUAGAGGCGGUGGUUACGGAGGAAGGUGUUAGAUCUGGUGUUUUUGAGGUAAAAGUUGGUGUUCAUCAAGGUUGAGUCUUGUCGCCGUUACUGUUUGCUUGUGUGAUGGAUGUACUGACAGAGGAAGUGAGAAGAAAAGAAGGAUGCUGGUGUUUGUUGUAUGCAGAUGACAUUGUCUUGGUGGCGGAGUCGAAGCACAAAGUCAUGGAAUGGUACCGAGAAUGGAAAACGGCAAUAGAAGUCAAGGGACUGAAAGUGAAUGAGGCAAAGACGAAGGGCAUGAGAUGCUCGAGGCAGGUGGAGGUGAAGGACAGUGAUAAAUGGCCAUGUGGUGUGUGU
This is a long non-coding RNA of Xenia sp. Carnegie-2017, 828 nucleotides long. RefSeq lists it as uncharacterized. The record is from RefSeq and is a predicted model, not a curated record. Lineage: Eukaryota; Metazoa; Cnidaria; Anthozoa; Malacalcyonacea; Xeniidae. The transcript is spliced from 2 exons.